AUUCCAUGAUGGGGACAUUCUAGGAUGUAGUCUUAAAAGCGCUCCCAUGCUUCUGGAACAGAUUCAUCGUUUUGUUGCUGAAAACUUGUAAUCUUCCCACGGAGAGC
This 107-nucleotide small nucleolar RNA is filed under the name Sorghum bicolor (sorghum). Its description in RNAcentral is "Plant small nucleolar RNA R71". It matches the Rfam family "Plant small nucleolar RNA R71". Rfam says of the family: R71 is a member of the C/D box family of snoRNAs containing the C (UGAUGA) and D (CUGA) box motifs. Multiple nearly identical copies of this snoRNA have been identified in Arabidopsis, and it is thought to function as a 2'-O-ribose methylation guide for 18S ribosomal RNA. The record is from Rfam by way of RNAcentral. Lineage: Eukaryota; Viridiplantae; Streptophyta; Magnoliopsida; Poales; Poaceae.